Molecule: microRNA precursor, 154 nt
Filed under: Amborella trichopoda
Lineage: Eukaryota; Viridiplantae; Streptophyta; Magnoliopsida; Amborellales; Amborellaceae
Description: MIR8565 microRNA precursor family
Rfam family: MIR8565 microRNA precursor family
Source: Rfam by way of RNAcentral
ACCAUACCCAUGUGUGUAAGAUCUCAAAAGAUCACCAUUAAAUUUGACACAGAUCUCUAGAAAAGUUAUCACAUGAGUGUGGGACUUGAUUUUUUUAGAGAUCUAUACCAAAUUUAAUGGUGAUCUUUUGGGGUCCUACAUACAUGGGUGUGAG